Dama dama (fallow deer) is the source of this 247-nucleotide long non-coding RNA. RefSeq lists it as uncharacterized. Lineage: Eukaryota; Metazoa; Chordata; Mammalia; Artiodactyla; Cervidae. The record is from RefSeq and is a predicted model, not a curated record. The transcript has 3 exons.
GAGAUUUGGAACUAUUGCUUUGCUGGAAACAUCUGGCUGCCGGUCUAGAACAUGACUCCAGAUUCUCCAUCUACUGUGUGGUGAUGCUAUUACUUUGGGACCUAUCAAUUUGGGCUCCUUCCAGAACUGAAAACUGGUUACAAAUAUGAAACAGAUUUCACUACUGGACUUGAACUCCACAUAAGAAAAAAAAACAAAAAACCAAGAAGAUCCUUAAAGAUCCUCAUCAAAGAAUAGAUGCCGUGUG